Molecule: non-coding RNA, 30 nt
Filed under: Mus musculus (house mouse)
Lineage: Eukaryota; Metazoa; Chordata; Mammalia; Rodentia; Muridae
Source: RNAcentral
UGAUACGCUUUCUAAAUCUUCAACUUCUCU